CCUACGGGAGGCUGCAGUCGAGAAUCAUUCACAAUGGGGGAAACCCUGAUGGUGCGACGCCGCGUGGGGGAAUGAAGGUCUUCGGAUUGUAAACCCCUGUCAUGUGGGAGCAAAUUAAAAAGAUAGUACCACAAGAGGAAGAGACGGCUAACUCUGUGCCAGCAGCCGCGGUAAUACAGAGGUCUCAAGCGUUGGUCGGAAUCACUGGGCGUAAGGCGUGCGUAGGCUGUUUCGUAAGUCGUGUGUGAAAGGCGCGGGCUCAACCCGCGGACGGCACAUGAUACUGCGAGACUAGAGUAAUGGAGGGGGAACCGGAAUUCGCGGUGUAGCAGUGAAAUGCGUAGAUAUCGAGAGGAACACUCGUGGCGAAGGCGGGUUCCUGGACAUUAACUGACGCUGAGGCACGAAGGCCAGGGGAGCGAAAGGGAUUAGAUACCCGGGUAGUC
This 446-nucleotide ribosomal RNA is filed under the name uncultured bacterium. RNAcentral describes it as "partial 16S ribosomal RNA". It matches the Rfam family "Bacterial small subunit ribosomal RNA", at positions 338 to 795 of the family's 1533-position model. The record is from RNAcentral.